CUACGGGAUGCUCCAGUGAGGAAUAUUGCACAAUGGGGGGAACCCUGAUGCAGCAACGCCGCGUGGAGGAUGACGCAUUUCGGUGUGUAAACUCCUUUUAUAUGUCAAGAAAAUGACGGUAGCAUAUGAAUAAGCACCGGCUAACUCCGUGCCAGCAGCCGCGGUAAUACGGAGGGCGCAAGCGUUACUCGGAAUCACUGGGCGUAAAGAGCGUGUAGGCGGAUUAAAAAGUCAGAAGUGAAAUCCUAUAGCUUAACUAUAGAACUGCUUCUGAAACUCUUAAUCUAGAAUAUGGGAGAGGUAGAUGGAAUUUCUGGUGUAGGGGUAAAAUCCGUAGAGAUCAGAAGGAAUACCUAAAGCGAAGGCGAUCUCCUGGAACAUUACUGACGCUAAGGCGUGAAAGCGUGGGGAGCAAACAGGAUUAGAUACCCCGGUAGUC
RNAcentral lists this ribosomal RNA (439 nucleotides) under uncultured bacterium. RNAcentral describes it as "partial 16S ribosomal RNA". It matches the Rfam family "Bacterial small subunit ribosomal RNA", at positions 339 to 795 of the family's 1533-position model. The record is from RNAcentral.